This 72-nucleotide transfer RNA is filed under the name Camelus dromedarius (Arabian camel). It matches the Rfam family "tRNA". From Rfam's summary of the family: Transfer RNA (tRNA) molecules are approximately 80 nucleotides in length. Their secondary structure includes four short double-helical elements and three loops (D, anti-codon, and T loops). RNAcentral also lists the same sequence under 1 other name. Lineage: Eukaryota; Metazoa; Chordata; Mammalia; Artiodactyla; Camelidae. The record is from Rfam by way of RNAcentral.
GAGGGUAUAGCUCAGUGGUAGUGUGUAUGUUUAGCAUGUGGGAGGUCCUGGGUUCAAUCCCCAGUGCCUCCA